This 427-nucleotide ribosomal RNA is filed under the name uncultured bacterium. RNAcentral's name for it is "bacterial SSU rRNA". It matches the Rfam family "Bacterial small subunit ribosomal RNA", at positions 355 to 774 of the family's 1533-position model. The record is from RNAcentral.
UGGGGAAUUUUGGACAAUGGGCGAAAGCCUGAUCCAGCAAUGCCGCGUGCAGGAUGAAGGCCUUCGGGUUGUAAACUGCUUUUGUACGGAACGAAAAAGCUUCUCCUAAUACGAGAGGCCCAUGACGGUACCGUAAGAAUAAGCACCGGCUAACUACGUGCCAGCAGCCGCGGUAAUACGUAGGGUGCGAGCGUUAAUCGGAAUUACUGGGCGUAAAGCGUGCGCAGGCGGUUAUAUAAGACAGAUGUGAAAUCCCCGGGCUCAACCUGGGAACUGCAUUUGUGACUGUAUAGCUAGAGUACGGCAGAGGGGGAUGGAAUUCCGCGUGUAGCAGUGAAAUGCGUAGAGAUCAGAAGGAACAUCCGUGGCGAAGGCGGCAUCCUGGGCCAACACUGACACUGAGGCACGAAAGCGUGGGGAGCAAACA